UAAUAUGAGAGUUUGAUCUUGGCUCAGGAUGAACGCUGGCGGCGUGCCUAAUACAUGCAAGUCGAACGAACUUCCGUUAAUUGAUUAUGACGUACUUGUACUGAUUGGGAUUUUAACACGAAGUGAGUGGCGAACGGGUGAGUAACACGUGGGUAACCUGCCCAGAAGUAGGGGAUAACACCUGGAAACAGAUGCUAAUACCGUAUAACAGAGA
RNAcentral lists this ribosomal RNA (214 nucleotides) under Pediococcus pentosaceus. RNAcentral describes it as "partial 16S ribosomal RNA". It matches the Rfam family "Bacterial small subunit ribosomal RNA", at positions 1 to 182 of the family's 1533-position model. Lineage: Bacteria; Bacillati; Bacillota; Bacilli; Lactobacillales; Lactobacillaceae. The record is from RNAcentral.